Long non-coding RNA from Coregonus clupeaformis (lake whitefish), 355 nucleotides. RefSeq lists it as uncharacterized. NCBI's taxonomy places the organism in Eukaryota, Metazoa, Chordata, Actinopteri, Salmoniformes, Salmonidae. The transcript has 3 exons. The record is from RefSeq and is a predicted model, not a curated record.
CUCACCGGCGCGACUACUGUCUGCUCUCCGUAUCUGUUACUAUAGCAACAGCCUCACCAUAGAGUUUGCCAACCAUUCAGAACGGGGGACACUGUUGCUCUCUCUUGGACUGGCUGGCUCAGCAGUAGGGGACACAGAGAACACAGGAAGUAGAGAUGGCUGGUCAAAGAGAGGCUACGCUUGCCAUUGAUGGAGAAGGGACAAAGGGACACCUGGAGGACCCCCACCCGCAGGACAUUAGCUCUAAAAAGGCAAAAACAAUAUCUCAGCCUCAUGACAAAAUGUGUAACAACAAAAUGUUCUCUGUCUCAUGGCAGGGUGUUUAGAAUAGCAUGAGAUUAACAAUAAAACAGCG